Molecule: ribosomal RNA, 372 nt
Filed under: uncultured organism
Description: partial 16S ribosomal RNA
Rfam family: Bacterial small subunit ribosomal RNA
Source: RNAcentral
GUAGGUGGCAAGCGUUGUCCGGAACUAUUGGGCGUAAAGCGCGCGCAGGCGGUUCUUUAAGUCUGAUGUGAAAGCCCACGGCUCAACCGUGGAGGGUCAUUGGAAACUGGAGAACUUGAGUACAGAAGAGGAAAGCGGAAUUCCACGUGUAGCGGUGAAAUGCGUAGAGAUGUGGAGGAACACCAGUGGCGAAGGCGGCUUUCUGGUCUGUAACUGACGCUGAGGCGCGAAAGCGUGGGGAGCAAACAGGAUUAGAUACCCUGGUAGUCCACGCCGUAAACGAUGAGUGCUAAGUGUUAGGGGGUUUCCGCCCCCCUUAGUGCUGCAGCUAACGCAUUAAGCACUCCGCCUGGGAGUACGGCCGCAAGGCUG